RNAcentral lists this ribosomal RNA (492 nucleotides) under uncultured bacterium. RNAcentral's name for it is "partial 16S ribosomal RNA". It matches the Rfam family "Bacterial small subunit ribosomal RNA", at positions 29 to 507 of the family's 1533-position model. The record is from RNAcentral.
AGUGAACGCUGGCGGUAGGCCUAACACAUGCAAGUCGAACGGCAGCACAGUAAGAGCUUGCCCUUACGGGUGGCGAGUGGCGGACGGGUGAGGAAUACAUCGGAAUCUACUUUUUCGUGGGGGAUAACGUAGGGAAACUUACGCUAAUACCGCAUACGACCUACGGGUGAAAGCAGUGGAUCUUCGGACCUUGCGCGAUUGAAUGAGCCGAUGUCGGAUUAGCUAGUUGGCGGGGUAAAGGCCCACCAAGGCGACGAUCCGUAGCUGGUCUGAGAGGAUGAUCAGCCACACUGGAACUGAGACACGGUCCAGACUCCUACGGGAGGCAGCAGUGGGGAAUAUUGGACAAUGGGCGCAAGCCUGAUCCAGCCAUACCGCGUGAGUGAAGAAGGCCUUCGGGUUGUAAAGCCCUUUUGUUGGGAAAGAAAAGCAGCAGGUUAAUACCCCGCUGUUCUGACGGUACCCAAAGAAUAAGCACCGGCUAACUUCGUG